RNAcentral lists this ribosomal RNA (1410 nucleotides) under Pseudomonas sp. IX. Its description in RNAcentral is "bacterial SSU rRNA". The stretch from base 1 to 743 matches the Rfam family "Bacterial small subunit ribosomal RNA". Lineage: Bacteria; Pseudomonadati; Pseudomonadota; Gammaproteobacteria; Pseudomonadales; Pseudomonadaceae. The record is from RNAcentral.
GGAGUUUGAGCCUGAGCUAAGUAAGUCGUAGCAAGGUAGAGUUAGUUCCUCGCUGAGACGGGUGAGUAAUGCCUAGGAAUCUGCCUGGUAGUGGGGGACAACGUUUCGAAAGGAACGCUAAUACCGCAUACGUCCUACGGGAGAAAGCAGGGGACCUUCGGGCCUUGCGCUAUCAGAUGAGCCUAGGUCGGAUUAGCUAGUUGGUGGGGUAAAGGCCUACCAAGGCGACGAUCCGUAACUGGUCUGAGAGGAUGAUCAGUCACACUGGAACUGAGACACGGUCCAGACUCCUACGGGAGGCAGCAGUGGGGAAUAUUGGACAAUGGGCGAAAGCCUGAUCCAGCCAUGCCGCGUGUGUGAAGAAGGUCUUCGGAUUGUAAAGCACUUUAAGUUGGGAGGAAGGGCAGUAAGUUAAUACCUUGCUGUUUUGACGUUACCAACAGAAUAAGCACCGGCUAACUUCGUGCCAGCAGCCGCGGUAAUACGAAGGGUGCAAGCGUUAAUCGGAAUUACUGGGCGUAAAGCGCGCGUAGGUGGUUUGGUAAGAUGGAUGUGAAAUCCCCGGGCUCAACCUGGGAACUGCAUCCAUAACUGCCUGACUAGAGUACGGUAGAGGGUGGUGGAAUUUCCUGUGUAGCGGUGAAAUGCGUAGAUAUAGGAAGGAACACCAGUGGCGAAGGCGACCACCUGGACUGAUACUGACACUGAGGUGCGAAAGCGUCACCCCUCGUUUGUCCUAAUCUAUGGGACCAUCAGGUGCGGCAUUUGCUACAGCUGAUCGGCAACCUUAGGAACUCUAAAAUCACCGCGUCGAUUGCGCUAUUCAGCUGGCGGACCCCUCAUGCCGGCGUUCCAAUUUUGAGUUUACUUAACUGCCCCCGGGCGUGUUCGCCACCUCGUACACCAAAUUAAGCUUCGUUGCGCUUCUUGGAAUGGACCGGAACUGUACAGGCCUUGGAACGUCUCUACGCUCCCACGGAAGCCCUUAGCCUUGUGUCCACGACGUACCGACAGCAGUCGAGCACAGCACUCUACAACCCAAUUCAGGGCAUUGCUCGCGUUGGGAACAGGAAUCAAUGGUCGUGGAGCCCACCCGUGAGAUUCCUCUGACGGCCACUGUUUGGCCUCCUUCCACCCCUACUGCAGUUCAGUAGUACCGGGAAUGCCGGUCCCGAUGUGUGCACGAUGUUACCAGCCAUGUCUCCCAACGGUUCGGCGCUCCACCUCGAUUAGGGUAUUUUGGCUAGCAUCAGGCCUAGCGUCAGACGUUGAGCUGACGCACUUCAGCCUUAGCGAUCAUUAGCACUUAGUCUUACAGCGCCACUUAUGCUUCAGCCUGGAUCAAGUGCAGGGAGGAAGGGAGUCAUCCAACCUAGAUCGAUCUAUAUCAGCACGGAGGGGUUCGCCUGU